Molecule: transfer RNA, 64 nt
Filed under: Pachybrachis regius
Lineage: Eukaryota; Metazoa; Arthropoda; Insecta; Coleoptera; Chrysomelidae
Also listed under: 1 other name
Description: tRNA-Asp
Source: RNAcentral
AAAAACUUAGUUAAAUAAAAUAACAUUAACUUGUCAAGUUAAAAUUACCAAAAGGUAGUUUUUG